AUUGAACGCUGGCGGCAUGCUUUACACAUGCAAGUCGAACGGUAACAGGCCGCCAGGUGCUGUCGAGUGGCGAACGGGUACGUAAUGCAUCGGAACGUGCCCACUCGUGGGGGAUAACUACUCGAAAGAGUAGCUAAUACCUCAUACGAUCUAUGGAUGAAAGCGGGGGACCGUAAUGCCUCGCGCGAUUGGAGCGGCCGAUGUCAGAUUAGGUAGUUGGUGGGGUAAAGGCUCACCAAGCCAACGAUCUGUAGCUGGUCUGAGAGGACAACCAGCCACACUGGGACUGAGACACGGCCCAGACUCCUACGGGAGGCAGCAGUGGGGAAUUUUGGACAAUGGGCGCAAGCCUGAUCCAGCAAUGCCGCGUGAAGGAAGAAGGCCUUCGGGUUGUAAAAUGCUUUUGUACGGAACGAAAAGGCUCUGGAUAAUACCCGGGGCUAAUGACGGUACCGAAAGAAUAAGCACCGGCUAACUACGUG
RNAcentral lists this ribosomal RNA (482 nucleotides) under uncultured bacterium. RNAcentral's name for it is "partial 16S ribosomal RNA". It matches the Rfam family "Bacterial small subunit ribosomal RNA", at positions 30 to 507 of the family's 1533-position model. The record is from RNAcentral.